RNAcentral lists this ribosomal RNA (424 nucleotides) under uncultured Glomus. RNAcentral's name for it is "SSU rRNA". It matches the Rfam family "Eukaryotic small subunit ribosomal RNA", at positions 569 to 999 of the family's 1831-position model. The record is from RNAcentral. Lineage: Eukaryota; Fungi; Glomeromycota; Glomeromycetes; Glomerales; Glomeraceae.
AGCAGCCGCGGUAAUUCCAGCUCCAAUAGCGUAUAUUAAAGUUGCUGCAGUUAAAAAGCUCGUAGUUGAAUUUCGGGAUCAAUAUGUUGGUCGUGCCUCGGUACGUACUAGCAUAUUGGUUUCUCCUUUCUGAAGAACCAUGAUGUCAUUUAUUUGGUGUCGUGGGGAAUCAGGACUGUUACUUUGAAAAAUUAGAGUGUUUAAAGCAGGCUCACGCUUGAAUACAUUAGCAUGGAAUAAUGAAAUAGGACGUUUGAUUCUAUUUUGUUGGUUUCUAGGAUCGACGUAAUGAUUAAUAGGGAUAGUUGGGGGCAUUAGUAUUCAAUUGUCAGAGGUGAAAUUCUUGGUAUUUAUUGAAGACUAACUACUGCGAAAGCAUUUGCCAAGGAUGUUUUCAUUAAUCAAGAACGAAAGUUAGGGGAGU